This is a long non-coding RNA of Octopus sinensis (East Asian common octopus), 272 nucleotides long. RefSeq lists it as uncharacterized. NCBI's taxonomy places the organism in Eukaryota, Metazoa, Mollusca, Cephalopoda, Octopoda, Octopodidae. The transcript is spliced from 2 exons. The record is from RefSeq and is a predicted model, not a curated record.
AUUUUUUAAAUGUCCCAGUAAAAGAGUUUGUUAGGAAGAAUUUGAAUUUGAAUUUAGUGGAGGCAAAAAAAUCUUUGAGAUUUUGGUAGAAGUUUCGGUUGGAGAAAGUUGGAACAGGAUCACAAUAUGUUGGAGACUGUAAAGACAACCCCAAAAUGCUUGACCAUCACAACAGUGGAAUCCCAGUCAAAGAAUCUUUAUAAAUAAGGAACUCACAAAACAGCGUAACUUAACAGUGGGGUUUUUUUUGUGUUUUUUAUUUUUUCUGUUCA